GGGGGAGAGAAAUGUUGCAGGGGAAUCGAGAAUUUGGAGCUUUGGGGACCGGCUGUGAAGUGGGGUUCUGAAUUUAAGUUCAAUUCCUCCGAGUUGUGUUGUGAGGCUUGUAAAGCUAUGUGUAGUGGGAAUGAUGGGCCUUGCUUGUGUGAUACUUGGGUGUAUUGUGGAAAUCGAGAGGAAUGUGGUCCUAAAUAUGGUGAAUGCUGGCUGAAGAAACAGAAGGAUACAUUGGCUCCUGAUCGGCAGGAAGGAGGGACAAGAAGUAUUUGGACUUCUGGGAUUAUCUUCGGAAGAGGAGAAGGAAUCGUUGCGCUGGAGACGGAUCAUGGCACCCUUCAUAUCAAGCUCUUCUCUGACUGUGCUCCCCAUUCAGUUGCUUACAUUCUCGAGUUAUUGGGAUUACGACAUUGUGCUGGUUGUCACUUUUACCGUGCAGAGGGA
RNAcentral lists this unclassified non-coding RNA (444 nucleotides) under Hevea brasiliensis (rubber tree). The record is from RNAcentral. Lineage: Eukaryota; Viridiplantae; Streptophyta; Magnoliopsida; Malpighiales; Euphorbiaceae.